This 355-nucleotide ribosomal RNA is filed under the name uncultured bacterium. RNAcentral's name for it is "partial 16S ribosomal RNA". It matches the Rfam family "Bacterial small subunit ribosomal RNA", at positions 338 to 685 of the family's 1533-position model. The record is from RNAcentral.
CCUACGGGAGGCAGCAGUGGGGAAUAUUGCGCAAUGGGCGAAAGCCUGACGCAGCGACGCCGCGUGAGGGAUGAAGGUCCUCUGAUCGUAAACCUCUGUCAGCAGGGAAGAACGGUCACUGUGGUAAUCAGCAGUGAAUUGUCGGUACCUGCAAAGGAAGCACCGGCUAACUCCGUGCCAGCAGCCGCGGUAAUACGGAGGGUGCGAGCGUUAAUGGGAAUUAGUGGACGAAAAGCGUACGUAGGCGGUUAGUCAAGUCAAGGGUGAAACCCCCGCGCUCAACGUGGGAACUGCAUUUGAAACUGGGAAACUGGAGUGUAUGAGAGGAUAGUGGAAUUCCUGGUGUAGGAGUGAA